Molecule: ribosomal RNA, 753 nt
Filed under: uncultured beta proteobacterium
Lineage: Bacteria; Pseudomonadati; Pseudomonadota; Betaproteobacteria
Description: bacterial SSU rRNA
Rfam family: Bacterial small subunit ribosomal RNA
Source: RNAcentral
AUUGAACGCUGGCGGCAUGCCUUACACAUGCAAGUCGAACGGUAACAGGUCUUCGGAUGCUGACGAGUGGCGAACGGGUGAGUAAUACAUCGGAACGUGCCCAGUAAUGGGGGAUAGCUCGGCGAAAGCCGGAUUAAUACCGCAUACGCCCUGAGGGGGAAAGUGGGGGAUCGCAAGACCUCACGUUAUUGGAGCGGCCGAUGGCUGAUUAGCUAGUUGGUAGGGUAAAGGCCUACCAAGGCGACGAUCAGUAGCUGGUCUGAGAGGACGAUCAGCCACACUGGGACUGAGACACGGCCCAGACUCCUACGGGAGGCAGCAGUGGGGAAUUUUGGACAAUGGGGGAAACCCUGAUCCAGCAAUGCCGCGUGUGCGAAGAAGGCCUUCGGGUUGUAAAGCACUUUUGUCAGGGAAGAAAUCCUUUGGGCUAAUACCCUAGGGGGAUGACGGUACCUGAAGAAUAAGCACCGGCUAACUACGUGCCAGCAGCCGCGGUAAUACGUAGGGUGCAAGCGUUAAUCGGAAUUACUGGGCGUAAAGCGUGCGCAGGCGGUUGUGUAAGACAGGUGUGAAAUCCCCGGGCUUAACCUGGGAAUUGCAUUUGUGACUGCACGACUAGAGUGUGUCAGAGGGGGGUGGAAUUCCACGUGUAGCAGUGAAAUGCGUAGAUAUGUGGAGGAACACCAAUGGGCGAAGGCAGCCCCCUGGGAUAACACUGACGCUCAUGCACGAAAGCGUGGGGAGCAAACAGGA